Talpa occidentalis (Iberian mole) is the source of this 1307-nucleotide long non-coding RNA. RefSeq lists it as uncharacterized. The transcript is spliced from 4 exons. Lineage: Eukaryota; Metazoa; Chordata; Mammalia; Eulipotyphla; Talpidae. The record is from RefSeq and is a predicted model, not a curated record.
CGUUUAAAAAUAAGAACAUAUAAGUAUGAAGAGGAAAAAGCAGCAAGAGAAGCACAAAUAGAACCCCAAGAACUGUUUGGAGAUACUCAGACUACUUCAAUAAGUCAAAUGGAAGUCAAAAAUACAAAUUUGGAAACUGAAAAUUGCAGACUGAAAACUGAAUUAGAGUCACAGAGAAUAAAAUUGGGAAAAUACAUGCAACUCUAUCUAGAAGAAUCAAACUCUAGAAAAUCAUUGCAAAUUACCGUAAACACUCUUCACGGGGCCAUCAAGAAGCUAACAGAAGUCAAUACUGAACCUCUUGUGAAGGAAACACAUCACGAAUAUGUAUUCAACGCGCCUCCUCCAAGGCCAGACCUACUGCUAUCUUCUGCUACACGUUCUAUUAAUAGUCUUAAUAAUCGUUUCAUGCUUGAUAGUUAUCUUACAACAAGAGGAAAUUCAACAACUUUUCCUACCUUCAACCCAAGGCCUUAAAAUGAAAGCACAGACACAUAACUAUGACAAGGUUUCCUCUCCCAGCCUGUGCUGACUCAGCAGCCCUCCCUCUCUGCGUCUCCUGGAGCAACAGCCAGACUCACCUGCACCCUGAGCAAUGACGUCAGUGUCCAGAGCAAAAAGAUAUUCUGGUUCCAGCAGAAGCCAGGGAGCCCUCCCUGCUAUCUCCUGAACUACCACACAGACUCAGAUAAGGGCCAGGGCCCCGGGGUCCCCAGCCGCUUCUCUGGAGCCAAGGACACCUCGGCCAACGCGGGGCUCCUGCUCGUCUCGGGGCCGCAGCCUGAGGACGAGGCCGACUACUGCUGCGUGGUCUCCCAUGGCGGUGAUUCUCACAGUGACACACACAGAAGGGGACAUGGGACAGGAACCUCAGCCUGCUCACAGUCUUGUUAUGUGGCCAUUUUUAAAUAAUUGUGCAUACGCACACUAUACGUUGAAAUACCUCUGAGUUCAUAAUGGAUCUGCUACAAUUAAACAUUCAGUGUUUCUAAAACCUCAGGAAAAAUAGCUAACAUUAAGAAUAAACUAACGAAUGACUCUGGAAGGCUGCCAAGUUAUUAAUGUGAUUAAUCGUGAAGCUGCCCUUUUUCUCUUACCCAGAUAAGGAAGAGGAGACUUCCCCACUCUCAUUCUCAGUGUCCAGAGACCCACCCCCCGCAGGUGCACAGCCCUCACAGCGGGGACUCUGCUCCCCAGAGACACUUCCCUCCCAGGAAGUGGGGGAAGGAAGGGCCCACGAGAUUGUGUCCUAAGAAACAGGCACGAAGAGGUGAGAUGCCGUGUGAGGAUCAGGCCCAGCAGGAAUU